This 611-nucleotide ribosomal RNA is filed under the name uncultured Pseudomonadales bacterium. RNAcentral describes it as "bacterial SSU rRNA". It matches the Rfam family "Bacterial small subunit ribosomal RNA", at positions 56 to 663 of the family's 1533-position model. The record is from RNAcentral. Lineage: Bacteria; Pseudomonadati; Pseudomonadota; Gammaproteobacteria; Pseudomonadales.
UGCAGUCGAGCGGUAGAGAGAAGCUUGCUCUUCUUGAGAGCGGCGGACGGGUGAGUAAUGCCUAGGAAUCUGCCUGGUAGUGGGGGAUAACGUUCGGAAACGGACGCUAAUACCGCAUACGUCCUACGGGAGAAAGCAGGGGACCUUCGGGCCUUGCGCUAUCAGAUGAGCCUAGGUCGGAUUAGCUAGUUGGUGAGGUAAGAGCUCACCAAGGCGACGAUCUUUAGCUGGUCUGAGAGGAUGAUCAGCCACACUGGGACUGAGACACGGCCCAGACUCCUACGGGAGGCAGCAGUGGGGAAUAUUGGACAAUGGGCGAAAGCCUGAUCCAGCAAUGCCGCGUGUGUGAAGAAGGCCUUCGGGUUGUAAAGCACUUUCAGAUGUGAGGAAAGGUUACAGAUUAAUACUCUGUAGCUGUGACGUUAACUGCAGAAGAAGGACCGGCUAACUCCGUGCCAGCAGCCGCGGUAAUACGGAGGGUCCGAGCGUUAAUCGGAAUUACUGGGCGUAAAGCGCGCGUAGGUGGUUUCGUCAGUCAGAUGUGAAAGCCCAGGGCUCAACCUUGGAAUUGCACCUGAUACUGCGGGACUAGAGUACGAUAGAGGGGAGUG